RNAcentral lists this long non-coding RNA (1156 nucleotides) under Bos indicus x Bos taurus (hybrid cattle). RNAcentral's name for it is "lncRNA (ENSBIXG00000010004.1)". Lineage: Eukaryota; Metazoa; Chordata; Mammalia; Artiodactyla; Bovidae. The record is from RNAcentral.
GAGUCAUGUCAAGGUGAGUUCAGGUCUCCAUCCAUCAUUCUUAACCUUUCUUGCAAGUUGGCUGAUGAAGACAAGGAUCUCAUGAUUUCCACUAUGACGAUUUCCCAGGCGCAGUCACUGUAUUCCUUCUCUUUCAGGUAGACAUGGAUGCCCUGGAAGUACUUCUUCACGGCCAGUGUGGGGCCCAUCCUUCCCAGGGCAGAGUCUUCCUCUCCUGUCACCGGGCCCAGGCAGGCGUCCAGGUCAUCCAGCUGCUGAUGGAGUCCAGUGCGGAGCUGUUCCAGGAGGGUGGUGUCCCAGGCAGCAGAGGAGCGCUCUGUGUGGAAGAGGUUGAAGCUCUGCUGGAGCAUCUCAUGGAGCACAGAGAUGGCCUGGGCCUCCUGGAGCUGGCCACCCUCCACCAUCUCCUGGGGGUCACAGCCCAGGGAUCCUCCCGAGCCGUAGCUGACCAGCACCAGGGCCAUCAGUAGAGAGAGCACGAAGGCCAUGGGGAAGAUGAGGUGGCCACUGGCCUGGCUGAGGCAGCGUCUGGUGGAACCUUGAGGUAGGUUCUCUGAUGCCAUGCUUUCUAAGCAAGGCCAUUAAAUAGGGAACAUGGUAAUUUUCAUUUUCUAAUUGUUGUAAUACACUUUCACUUCCUUUUUUGAUUUUCAUUUAUGUAUUCACAACAUGAUCAAAGAAAAUGUCAUCAGUUUAAAGUGUUAAUUUUACCUAUUCCCAAUAACUUCAAAUGUACCCAUCCAAUUAAAUAUGUGUCAAUCAAAUGAGAACGUUUUUAUUAUUCAACAGUUUUACUUAAACUGUUCAACACUUUUCUGCUCAGAGUUUCAGAGCUGGAGGAAGGAGAUUCAGUGAUGGUGUUUCUCACUGGAAGCUUAUGUCACAGAAUCUAGUGAGUGUCAGUCAUUCAUUCAGGCCGUUGAUUCCAGUGGGCAUCUCUGUUCCUCUGUCUCUUUCUCCCUCUGAGAAUGAAGGACGGUGAGAACCAGGCUACUGGUUCAGGGAGAAAUAGCCUUCUUUCCUUUACUUGAGUAUACUUUUUCACUUAGUUUCUACAUUCAGUUAGUGACUUUUUGGCCAGGAUUUGUCUUGCUGCUCCUGUUCUAGUUCUAAAUCACGUUGAGGUAAGAAAAAUAAAGCGAAGUAAGGAAAGGCA